Molecule: ribosomal RNA, 613 nt
Filed under: uncultured bacterium
Lineage: Bacteria
Description: bacterial SSU rRNA
Rfam family: Bacterial small subunit ribosomal RNA
Source: RNAcentral
CCCUUUGGUUCGGAACAACUCAGGGAAACUUGUGCUAAUACCGGAUGUGCCCUUCGGGGGAAAGAUUUAUCGCCAUUGGAGCGGCCCGCGUCUGAUUAGCUAGUUGGUGAGGUAAAGGCUCACCAAGGCGACGAUCAGUAGCUGGUCUGAGAGGAUGAUCAGCCNNNNNNNGACUGAGACACGGCCCAAACUCCUACGGGAGGCAGCAGUGGGGAAUCUUGCGCAAUGGGCGAAAGCCUGACGCAGCCAUGCCGCGUGAAUGAUGAAGGUCUUAGGAUUGUAAAAUUCUUUCACCGGGGACGAUAAUGACGGUACCCGGAGAAGAAGCCCCGGCUAACUUCGUGCCAGCAGCCGCGGUAAUACGAAGGGGGCUAGCGUUGCUCGGAAUUACUGGGCGUAAAGGGAGCGUAGGCGGACUGUUAAGUUAGAGGUGAAAGCCCAGGGCUCAACCUUGGAAUUGCCUUUGAUACUGGCAGUCUUGAGUACGGAAGAGGUAUGUGGAACUCCGAGUGUAGAGGUGAAAUUCGUAGAUAUUCGGAAGAACACCAGUGGCGAAGGCGACAUACUGGUCCGUUACUGACGCUGAGGCUCGAAAGCGUGGGGAGCAAACAGG